RNAcentral lists this ribosomal RNA (492 nucleotides) under uncultured bacterium. RNAcentral describes it as "partial 16S ribosomal RNA". It matches the Rfam family "Bacterial small subunit ribosomal RNA", at positions 29 to 507 of the family's 1533-position model. The record is from RNAcentral.
AGUGAACGCUGGCGGUAGGCCUAACACAUGCAAGUCGAACGGCAGCACAGUAAGAGCUUGCUCUUACGGGUGGCGAGUGGCGGACGGGUGAGGAAUACAUCGGAAUCUACUUUUUCGUGGGGGAUAAUGUAGGGAAACUUACGCUAAUACCGCAUACGACCUACGGGUGAAAGCAGGGGAUCUUCGGACCUUGCGCGAUUGAAUGAGCCGAUGUCGGAUUAGCUAGUUGGCGGGGUAAAGGCCCACCAAGGCGACGAUCCGUAGCUGGUCUGAGAGGAUGGUCGGCCACACUGGAACUGAGACACGGUCCAGACUCCUACGGGAGGCGGCAGUGGGGAAUAUUGGACAAUGGGCGCAAGCCUGAUCCAGCCAUACCGCGUGGGUGAAGAAGGCCUUCGGGUUGUAAAGCCCUUUUGUUGGGAAAGAAAAGCAGCAGGUUAAUACCCCGCUGUUCUGACGGUACCCAAAGAAUAAGCACCGGCUAACUUCGUG